RNAcentral lists this ribosomal RNA (374 nucleotides) under uncultured eukaryote. RNAcentral describes it as "partial 18S ribosomal RNA". It matches the Rfam family "Eukaryotic small subunit ribosomal RNA", at positions 592 to 976 of the family's 1831-position model. The record is from RNAcentral.
CAAGAGCGUAUGUAAAAGUUGUUGCAGUUAAAAAGCUCGUAGUUGAACCUUGGGCUUGGUUGGCCGGUCCGCUUUUUUGCGAGUACUGGAUUCAACCGAGCCUUUCCUUCUGGCUAACCAGUCGUUUCGGCGGCUGGCGAACCAGGAUUUUUACUUUGAGAAAAUUAGAGUGUUCAAAGCAGGCAUUAGCUUGAAUAUAUUAGCAUGGAAUAAUAGAAUAGGACGUUAUGGUUCUAUUUUGUUGGUUUCUAGGACCAUCGUAAUGAUUAAUAGGGACGGUCGGGGGCAUCAGUAUUCAGUUGUCAGAGGUGAAAUUCUUGGAUUUACUGAAGACUAACUACCGCGAAAGCAUUUGCCAAGGACGUUUUCAUUAA